Long non-coding RNA from Myotis brandtii (Brandt's bat), 631 nucleotides. RefSeq lists it as uncharacterized. NCBI's taxonomy places the organism in Eukaryota, Metazoa, Chordata, Mammalia, Chiroptera, Vespertilionidae. The transcript is spliced from 4 exons. The record is from RefSeq and is a predicted model, not a curated record.
CUGAUGAGAGGAGGACUCCACGUCGCUCUGUGAGACAAGCCCCUGAUUGACUGCUCUGCUGUGUGAGCCUGAACCAACUGUGGCCACCUGUCUGUCUCCAUCUUCGUCGUCUGUCUUUCGGUGUGCAUCACCGGGUGGCCUUUGCUGGAGCCUAGGACCCACUAGAAAUAGGAGACUGUCACACUGAUUUCCAAAGUGGGUGCGCCAUUUUGCAUUUCCAAGGCUAAUGAAUGAGAGUUCCUGAUGCUCCAUGAUCUCACCAGCAUUUUGUGUUCUCAGUGUUCUGGAUUUUGACGAUUCUACUAGUUGUAGGUAUAGUAGAUGUGAAGCUACACUGACCAGUAAGGGAGCCAGUAGCCACUUGUGGCUAUUGAGUAUUUGAAAUGUGACUAGUCCAAAUCAAUAUGUGUUGUAAAUGUAAAAUACACACUGGAUUUCAAAGAUGGUAUGAAGAAAGAAUGUUAAAACAUCUCACGAAAGUGACUAUUAGUUGAAAAGAGAAUAUUGGGAUAUGUUGGGUUAAAUGAAAUGAUGCUGCCAUCUCGUUCCAUUCUAAAGUGUCGCUCUUGCCUCCAAGGUGAGAACUAUUAUUAAUGGACUAUAUCCUGGCAUAAGGUGCUGUUGAGAGAGG